Molecule: long non-coding RNA, 160 nt
Organism: Chionomys nivalis (European snow vole)
Lineage: Eukaryota; Metazoa; Chordata; Mammalia; Rodentia; Cricetidae
Exons: 3
Source: RefSeq, a predicted model, not a curated record
ACUGUCUAAGCUGGAGACUGUUUUCCAGUCUACUCACUACGUCAAAGCAAAAGCAAGAAAACAACUGGCAGCAUCCAUCGGUGUGAGUGAAACCAAAGUGCAGAAUUGGUUUAAGAGGAAGAGAGAAAAAUACAGGAAAUAUCAAAAGGCAUAAAUAAAG